RNAcentral lists this long non-coding RNA (1911 nucleotides) under Pan troglodytes (chimpanzee). RNAcentral describes it as "long non-coding RNA NONPTRT015947". Lineage: Eukaryota; Metazoa; Chordata; Mammalia; Primates; Hominidae. The record is from RNAcentral.
GGAGUGGCUGGUGGAGCAGCAGCAGCCCCUUCAAGAGUACAAGGGCAGGCACCAGCUGGGGAAGGCUGGUGUUGCCUUGUCGGCCACAUUCUGGAGCCCGGCAGACAGCCUCAGCAAGCUCCUGUAGCCCUUCCAGAUGGCGGUCCGCGAGGCAAGUGCGGCACAGGCCUCUCUGAGCCAGGUGCUGCCCCAGCUGCGCUACCUGCACAUCUUCCUGGAGCAGGUUCACACACACUUUCAGGAGCAGAGUGUCGGGGAGAGGGGCGCAGCCAUCCAGCUGGCUGAGGGGUUGGCCCGGCAGCUCUGCACCGACUGUCAGCUCAACAAGCUCUUCUACCGCGAGGAGUUUGUGCUGGCCACCUUGCUGGACCCUUGCUUCAAGGGGAAGAUUGAGGCCAUCCUGCCGUGGGGGCCGACCGACAUUGACCACUGGAAGCAAGUCCUCGUGUACAAGGAGCCUUCUCUGAAAGCAUCUUUGCCUCCCUGAACAGCCCCACCCUUGUAGAGCAAAACUCUUCUCUCAAGGUGGAAGCCAUUGAGCAUCUCCUCUUCUUGAAGGCCAACCUGGAGCAGUUCCCCAACUACACCCCGCCUCCCCUCAUCUGCUCUAGUGGUGACCUGGCCAAGGGGAUACAGACCCUGCAGUCCGCUCAGGGUGGGAUGGCAGACAUGGCAGGUGCCGGUGCUCACCCUGCCUGUGAACUCCUAGAGAGCCCCUGCCUGUAAUAGGUCAAAGCAGAGAGCUGGGUGUUGCAUCCUGGGCGCCACAUGCUCAUGGCCAGAAUCUUAAACCUAUUUGGUAGGAAAGGGUCAGUUUCUCACUUGACAGAUUGCCAUAUUUUUUUUUCUGGGAGAUGUCAUUUUCCAUCUCCCGAUUACUUCCUUUAUGUCUAGCAGUAUGUGCCGAGAAGAGGCUUACUCUCUUCGUAGGUGACUGAAUUUUGUACUACGUGGCUUUGUACAUGUGAUGCUCUGUUAAAACAUAAGUGGGUGUGAAGGUCCUUGCAUACACCUUUUCUGUGUGGAUAAGUGGAUACAUGCCCUUAAGAGGCUUGCUUUCUCAAAAAGUGGCCAAGGAUGUGGAGUGGGCAUGUGCUGGCAGGUGGGAUAUGUCCUCAGCCUUUGGGGGCCUGGAUAAGCUAUUGCAGCACUUUCUGAGGCUUUCACUGUAGGGAGAAGGAAAUCCCAAGGGUAGAAUAGCCAUUUCCAGAGGGAAGUGCACACAUACCUCCACACACCAGUCUUUUUGGGGGUUUCAGAGUGGCCGGAGAAACCGACUGAAGGGACUGACCAGCUAGCUAGGAGAGCUGAGACGCCAGUCCUCAAAUGGCGUUCUUACCAAUAGUCUAUUUCCAGACUACUGGAAACGCUGGGGUUUCUUCCUCCAGUGACAGCAGCCUCAGUAGCUUUCCUGGGCUCCAGGCGGCUGGCUGCACACCCUGCCUGCCAUCACCCUUGCCCCUGCUUGUCCUGGACCACUUUUAAAGGGGAAGUCCCUUAUUUGGAAGAGAGAAAGGAUGUGUGUAGCACACGCUCAUCAUGGAUUGCUCAGAGUUCCUUUAGGGCAGAGCUGAGGGCCUGGGAUCCAGGAACCAGUGGGAUUGGAUGGGAGAAGAAGGAAGGGGGUGGCCCGUCACCCCCGCAGGACUUGCAUCCAGGUAGCCUAAGGGCUCCUGGUCACUGGGUAGGGUGGCUGCUGAGAUGCAGGUCGGAAGAGGCAGGGGAAGGCUCCAAGCCUAACUUGGAGCAUGUCACUGGCCAUGGGGGUGAGGGGACAGACUCUGCCCUCACUGGCUGGCAGCCCCAGGAGCCUGUUCCCUUGCCUCUCCUGGAUGGGUUGUCAGCCCUGUGUUUCACUGUGACCAAUUCAUUAUAACAUUUGGAUAUUACUGAAAAUGUAAGGAAGCAGGA